CAAAACCACAUGUGCCUCAAUUUGCCCUCCAGAGAAGAGAAGCUUUACUACUAAUCGCAGAUUCCCGGAACCUGCGGGCCGGCCGGCCAAUCCGUCGCCACAGAAGCAGUGAUCCCGGGAAACAAAAAUCAUCACCCCGACUGUCCCGGGUAGUACAAAGAAACAAUCUUUGCGGCGCCCCCGCCCUAUAUAAGCCGCACGCGCGACCAGGCCACCCACUUCCUCCUCAUCAUCUCGAUCAAAGCUUGAUUAAUUAACUGGGUGUUCGUCGAUGCGCUGAGACAUCCGCUCGUUGAGAGGUGGAUUUGUUGAUUCGUGUUUUGUUUUUGUUGUUGGUUUGAUCGCGUCGCGUGAGUGUGUGCAUAUGCGUUGUGCCGCCGUGGCGGAGGCGAGAUCGAUGGACAAGCUGAGCGUGCAGCACGGGCACCACAACGGCAUCUCGAAGCCGCCGGUGCACGGAGGGAAGGGCGGCGGGGGAAGGGGGAGUAGUAGGGGG
RNAcentral lists this long non-coding RNA (496 nucleotides) under Oryza brachyantha (malo sina). RNAcentral describes it as "long non-coding RNA (OBRA_LNC000759)". Lineage: Eukaryota; Viridiplantae; Streptophyta; Magnoliopsida; Poales; Poaceae. The record is from RNAcentral.